This is a long non-coding RNA of Melospiza melodia melodia, 1693 nucleotides long. RefSeq lists it as uncharacterized. The transcript is spliced from 4 exons. NCBI's taxonomy places the organism in Eukaryota, Metazoa, Chordata, Aves, Passeriformes, Passerellidae. The record is from RefSeq and is a predicted model, not a curated record.
GGGCUGCGCUUGCGUGGGGUGAAGGCGCUGAUGGAGCGCGUGAGCCAAUGCUGGGCGACACUUUGGGCACCCUGGGGCACAGUGGGAUUUCGGAGGGGUGAACGUCUCCCGAAAGCAGCUGUGAGCUGGGCUGCUUGUUCUGUACUCUAGAGAGGCCAUGGUUUCCUGUUGAGCCUCUGCCUUUGCCAACUCCCUGUUUUGUCCUGAUGCCCCAUGCAGCAGUGGGUGGAAUGGGAGACACUGCACGAGGAUGGCCAUUGCUGAAGUGCAUGUGUUGCAUCACGUGUUGCUCAUCAGAGAGAUUGUGGAGUCUCCCUCAAGAACAUCUGGACAUAAUCCUGUGCCAUGUGCUCUUAGAUGACCCUGCUUGAGCUGGGACGUUGUACCAGACGACCCACUGGGAUCCCUUCCAACCUGACCCAUUCUAUGAAUAUAAAGCCACACAAGGCAACUCGCAACAAGGCAAGCAGAGAAAGCCUCAAGCAGUGCCAGGGAAGAUUCAGGUUGGACAUCAGGAAGGUUUUUUCACAAAGAAGGCUGUCAAGCAUUGGAACAGACUGCACAAAGAUGUGUUGGAGUCACCACCCCUGGAGGUGUUCAAGCAACAACUGUUCAUGGCACUGAGUGCUACGGUCCAGUUGACAAAGUGGUGACUGGUCAAAGGUUGGAAUCACAGAAUCACAGAAUAAGCUGAGUUGGAAGGCAGCCACAAGGAUCAUCAAAUCUGACUCCCUACACAGCUCCAUCCCCAAGAGUCACACCUCGUGCCCAAGAGUAUUGUCCAAAUUUUCCUUGAACUUUGUCAGGCUGGUGCUGUGACCAUUUCCCUGGGAAUCCUGUUCCAGUGACCAACCACCCUCUGGGUGAAGAACCUUUACUAAUAUCCAACCUAGCCCUCCCCUGACACAACUUCAGGCCAUUCCCUUGGGUCCUGUCUUGGAUCACCACAGAGAAGAGAUCAGUGCCUGCCCCUCCUCUUCUCCUCACAAGAAGUUGUAACUGCAUUGUUGUAACUCUUCUCCAGGUUGAACAGACCGAGUGACCUUAGAUGUUCCCCAUAGAGCUUCUCCUCAAGGUCCUUCACCACCUUUGUUGCCCUCUUUUGAAUAUUCUCUGCUGGUUUUCUAUUUGACUUCUAUUAUGGCACCCAAAACUCCCCCAGCACUUGAGGUGAGGCUGCCCCGGUGCAGAGCAGGACAAUCCCCUCCCUUGCCUGGCUGGUGAUGCUGUGCCUGGUGCCCCCAGGACACAUUUGACCCUUCUGGCUGCCAGGGCACUGCUGGCUCAUGUUCAACUUGCAUUGACCAGGACUCCCAGCUCCCUUCAUGUGGCACUGCUUUUCAGUCUCAUUCCUCAGUCUGUACAUACACAUUUGAAGGUCUUGUUCAGCCUAAGUGAUUCUAUGAAAUAAAGCUUUUUUUUUUUUCAACAAAUGUGUACUUGUCUUGAAUCUCUUCCUCAAUGUGCUUUAUUCGUGCUGGUCUCUGAUAUGGGGGGUGGCAGGGAGGGGGAUGUAGUAACUUAAGAACAAACCUUUAGGUCCUCAUUCUGUGCAUGUCACAGAUAUUCUGUUGAUAAGAGAACCACACGGUGUGAUAACAUUUCUCCAGAGCCAUAUGUAGUCUAUCUUGACAGACAAUGAAAGAUGGAUGCUUCUCAGCAUUCAUAUUGGUAAAAAUUAUCUGAAAAGAGA